This 13599-nucleotide long non-coding RNA is filed under the name Lupinus angustifolius (narrow-leaved blue lupine). Its description in RNAcentral is "long non-coding RNA (LANG_LNC002114)". The record is from RNAcentral. Lineage: Eukaryota; Viridiplantae; Streptophyta; Magnoliopsida; Fabales; Fabaceae.
UUAUUGAUAUGAGUCAUACGCGGGUAAUGCUAAAAAAAACCAAUUAUGUCUUCUAAAGUAAUUUACAUACAACGAGUACCCUCACAGUGGUUAUCCACUCUAGGAUGAUUAGUACAUUCAUAAGUCUCACAACACAAGGAACCUAAGCCACUUUGAUAUAGUGCAUUGACGCAUAUCGCUAUGGCUAUUAAACAAUUCCAGCACCUGAUUCUCGCAGCUAAAAAAGAGGAUGGCAAUAAUAUCGUUUAUAUCAAAAAAGAGGCCACAUUAAAAUGCUAAAACAUGGACAAGAGUUCCCAUCCCAUACUAGGUUACAUUUUCUAAAUAAGGACCAGCAUCCUAGGGGGUAUACAUCAUGCACAUCAUUCAUUCAUGCAUUCAUCCAUGCAUUCUUUAUCUCAUUUAUUUAACACCUUUACGAUUGUCACGCCUUUUGCAGAUUACUUUGUCGGAGAGAAACUGGUAUAGUAAGACAUAGAGACUGAUUCUCAAGUUGUGGGUUCUGUCAGCACUCUGUCAGUGAAAAAAGGAGUAAGGGUAGAAUUACAAGUUAUGGAUGUAAGCUUCCUAGCAGAUCUGGUCCCCAAGAUCCCUCAAGAGGUUCAAGACCAGCUAGCAAAAGAAUAUGGAAGGUUGUCUGACUUGGUCCUCAUCACGGUUGAUAUAGAGACAUUAAAGGGCAUGAAAGACAUGAUCCAGUACUAGAACACUGCUCUACACAUCUUCGAAUUCCCAAAUAUUGAUGCAUCCUCGACUGUGGAGGAGUAUGAGGUCCUACUUGAUAUCGACUCUUCCAUCACAGAUAUCGAGCUAUCAAACAGGCUAAAGCUGUAUCAGUAUAGCGGUACUCAGAAUGUUACAGAAGAGUAUAUCGAGGGGCUGAUCGGGAUGCAUCCAGGCCCGAACCAGAUUAUCAAACAAGGAGAAGUAUAUGGGCUAAAGACCACUUUCUUGAAAAAAAACAUCUUGCCGAAAUGGUGGAACCAGGAAAUUGGGAGCUAUUCAAACCCGCUUUUGCUCUAGCAGUAUAUGGUAUGGUCCUAUUCCCUUUCGUUUAUGAUAUGGUAGACCAAGCGGCGAUCGAUGUCUUCGCCAAAGUCAAGAGGUUCAGAGUUAACCCCGUUCCAGCAAUAGUUGCAGAAACUCUCUUAUAUUUCCAAAUGUGUCAUGAAAAAGGCUACCACAAGGUCCGGUGUUGUGUAAAAUUGCUCUAUGUGUGGAUGAUUACUCGGUUUGCGCAUCACCAAUAUCCAGAUUGGAGCAAGUACCCCCUGCGCCGGUUCAGAAAUAUUGCAAUUAAACCUAUGCAACUGGCGGAUUGGAAGAAACUGUUCAAAGAGGUAACCCCUAGGAAUUUUGGAACAAAGUGUUGCUUAUAUGACAAACAUCAGGCAGUGAUGUACUCAUGUGGAGACUUUCCGAACAUGAUGUUGAUGGGCCCCCGAGGAUGCAUCUCUUUCACCCCAGCCUUAGUACUGGGACAACUGAAAUGGGGGAUGAAUCUAGUACCUCAAGAAAAGUUGCAGGGGAUCACAGUCUGGUAUAGGGAGGAGGGAACUACCCGAGAAGUUCUCAUAUAUGUGACGAAUGCUCUGAGGAGUAUCCGUCUAUGUGGGAAGAAUGAGCUUGGAGAACACCAAGCCUAUUACACUGAAGAGUACAAAUGCUGGAGGAAUGAAAGGAUUAAAUAUGUUAUGUUGCCACCAUCCGAGUCAUCAAAAGAACCGAUCGGGCCAUCCCAGAACGAACUACUACUCGUUAGUCAGAACAAACUUCUGGAAUCCAAGUUGGAAGAGGCUCGAGAUGAAGUAGAGAAAUAUAAACUGAUGGUGGAGAAGCUUAACAAAACCAUCGCUGCACAGAAGAGGGAGGAAGUCAGCUUGAAGCGAGACUAAGCCAGCAUGUGCUCUUCAUCCGACAAAUUCCGCCUGAUCCGAGAUGGCAAAGAAAAAGACAAAAAAAUAACAGAAUUGACCAGGUUGGAGAAAGAAAAAGAUGAACAGAUAGCCGACAUGGUUGAUCAACUGAAGGCCCGAGCGCGAGCCCUACAUACUGCUCAAAGAGAUGUUCACACGCUGAAAGCAAAAAUAGAGAAUAUGCAGGCCAACCGAAGAGAUGGGAGCCAAACGGGGGCUAUCUUAAAAGAGUAUCAGGAAGCCUUGAUGCGAGCCAGGGAAAGACAGGAUCAACUGAAUGUUGCGUUGGAUGCUCGUUUCCAAGCAUUGGCUGAGGCAAAUCGCGAUAAAACCCAUCUUUCUGAACGAAUGAAGGACCUUGAGGAAGCCUACAAUGAGUUAAAUGCCAAACAUCAUGAGUGGUCACACAACUGGGAGAAUAUGCUCCAGGAGUGUAAAUGGGACAAGGAGAAAUGGGAAGGAAGAUGCAGGCAAAUCAUCGAGGGUCUUGGGGACUUUGCUGAUGGUUGGUUGAGAAACUUUGAUGAUGCCCGUCAGGAGGUCGAAAUGUACCCUGAUACAAGCCUACGCCCCGCCAUGAGAACCUUCUAUGAAGCAUGUGAUAAGUUGGCUUGGAAACUCAGAAGGUGGAGAACUGCUGCAUCUGGAGAAUAUUGAGCAUUUUAUGUUUUUCUUCUCCUUUGUAAAAAUAAAAAGAAAGAGAGAAUGAAUAAAGGAAAAUUGUAGUCCUACUUAUGAAUAUGAAUAAAAAAUUUCUCCUUUUCUCAGAGUUUAUCCGAGUUGUUCUCUAUACAAGUAUCAUAAGGGUUCAUCAUCUUAUCUAGUCUUCAAGUAAAAAGUCCUGACAGAGUAAAAACAUAUUGUAAUUAGAUACAAUCUUGGUCUGAAACCUAGAGUUUCUUCUAACGAUUGGUAUCAAAUGUAAACGAUCUUGCAGACUACGCUCCCAAGAUUACCAAAUACAUGACAAGAUGUUUAAUGAUAGUGAUCCACAAUGAGAGAAUAAGCCUAGAUGCAAGCAAGGUCUGAAGCCUAGAGCUUCCUCUGAGUAUUGUCAUCAACGCAAGAGAAACUAUUGGGGUGCGCCUCGUAGUCAACAAAUGCGGGUCAAGACGUCUUACUAUACUAAGCCUCUCGAAGACAAAGAAAUCUUUUUGCUUUCAUUUUUAUCAUUUAUUUUUCAAAUUUUUAUUUUUCCAAUAACUCAGGUUCUGUAAUCAUUGCACACCAACAUCCUUACAAUACCCGAUCAAAAACAAAGACAAUGGCCGACCAGGAAGCUACUAUUGGAGGGAAUCCCGAGGUGAUUGAGCUAAAAGAGCAAAUAGCACUGAUGAUGAGAAUGAUGGUAGCCAUGCAGCAAGAAAUGGCAUCUGGGAAUUCUUCUGCAGAAGAUAAGCGGGCCCAAUCCGCACGUAAUGCCAAUGAAGGAGGGCACAACCAAGAGUCUGCCUCUAAGCACCAGGGUGCAUCACAAGGACAUACCUCGUCAAACAAAGAGAACUCACAACACACCAACCAACAUGACUCGGAUGACGAUCCUAACUACCACGCCCCCAAGAAUGAUAGAAGCACUGCAGGACGUCAAACUAGUAAAGACACUCAGCGCGAUGAUAAAGGGAAGGGGAAGGAAGAUGAAAUGUGGGACAUCAUUAAUGAAAGGCUUAAGGAUGUGGAGGGGGCUAACUGCCCCGAUUUAAAGAACGCUUUUGAAUUGUGUCUGGUCCCAGAUGUCGUUCUUCCUCCUAAAUUCAAGGUUCCCGAAUUCGAAAAGUAUGAUGGGAGUACAUGCCCGAAGAGCCAUCUUCAUAUGUACGCCCGGAAAAUGUCAGCGUACCAUAGUGAUGAUAAGCUGCUCAUUCAUUGCUUUCAAGACAGCCUUGUGGGGAUCGCCACUUCGUGGUACAUCCGCCUCGAAAGCAAGCACAUUAAGACAUUCCUGGAUCUUUCUAAUGCCUUCAUAAGGCAGUACAAAUUCAAUGAGGACUCUACGCCGGACCACAACAAGCUUCAAAGCAUGUCGAAACCGGCAAGUGAAUCAUUCAGGGAAUAUGCACAGAGAUGGAGAGGAGUGGCCUCACAAGUCUUACCCCGUCUGGAGGAAGAAGAGCAGAUCACUAUCUUCAUCAACACUCUCCCUAACCCUUUCUUCGACAAGAUGAUUGGGAAUAAUACAUGUGAUUUCAAUUCAUUGAUUAGAGUCGGAGACAGAAUUGAGCAAAACAUGAAAAAUGGAAAGAUUGUCGCCGAACAAACCGGAGAGCCCAAAAGGCCCAACUACAUGAAGAAAAAAGAAACUGAAGCCCACUACAUAGCCGGAGAACCCCAAAAGACAUCGAACAAGAUAAACAACAAUCCUCGUUCAUAUACACACCGCCCUCAACACAACCAGACACCAUACCAACCGAGCCCGCAAAACACAUACCAGAUCCCAUACCAACCAAUAGCCUACAUUAACCACAACCGCCCACCACUUCAACAAAACACAACCUUUCAAUACAACCAACCACAACCAAACCUCUAUCAACCCCGACCACCUAGGCCCAACUAUCAACCAAAUAACCAAGCCCAAAACCAUAAUCCACCCGUGCAAUACCAAACUCAGGAAAGAAGGACUUUCGACCCUAUCCCUAUGACCUAUGCCGAACUAUUCGCCACCUUACAAACAGAACGUAUCCUAGCACCCAUUCUAGGAAGAGUCCCAAAUACUAUGGCCGCAUGGUACAACCCUAAUGUCAAUUGUGCUUACCAUUCGGGAGUAGUGGGGCAUUCAAUCGAAACUGGUAAGGCAUUAAAACAUAGAGUGCAGGAUCUUAUCGAUUCCGGAUGGUUGAAUUUCAAAGACGAUGUUCCCACUAUCACAAACAACCCUUUGCCCAAUCAUGGGAACCAGGGAGUGAAUGUCUUAGAGCGGGACGAGGCAGACACUAUUAUUGACAGGGUGGAAGACAUAAAGACACCCCUAAAGAUCAUAUUUUUGGAGAUGUGCAAAAUAGGUCUGGUGAAGUGUACGCAAGAUGGUCAAUAUGAAGGUGACGUUUGCAUGCUACAUGGGACUACAGACCAUAACAUAGAAGAAUGUUCCAAGUUCAGAUCAUUGAUACAAGAAUUAUUGGACUCCUAGUUGUUGAGGAUCGAAAGGCAAAAUAAAUGUUCUGACAUAUGUGUCAUUGAAAAAGACGAGGAAAGUCCGAGUCCGGUCAUUAUAAGGAAGUUUGUACCAGUAUUCAACAUACCUACUAGCACACCAUCAUAUNNNNNNNNNNNNNNNNNNNNNNNNNNNNNNNNNNNNNNNNNNNNNNNNNNNNNNNNNNNNNNNNNNNNNNNNNNNNNNNNNNNNNNNNNNNNNNNNNNNNCGGAAAAAUGCCAGUUCCAACAAAUGAAGUUGUCCACUUGGUCGGGGUAGGAAAUAUGACAAGGAGCGGAAGGAUUUAUAGCCCUGUUGAGAUAGCCAGUAAAGUCAUCAAUGCGUCUAAAGGCAAAGAAAACGUUGAUAAGCCAGUAGAUACCAGUUCUGGAGCGGCCCGGGUUGAGAUCCCUCCAAUUGAUGUUGAAAGAGAAGUCACAGAUGAUGAAGCUUGUGAGUUCUUGCGAUUCAUCGGGCAAAGCGAGUACCAAAUAGUUGACCAGUUGAGUCGCACUCCAGCCAGGGUAUCGCUGUUGUCUUUACUAAUGAAUUCAGAAGCUCACAGAAAGGUCCUACUGAAAGUGCUAAACCAGGUCCAUGUCGACCAUGAUAUAAGUACUAGCAAAUUAGAUGGUAUCGUCAAUAAUAUCAUGUCGAUAACUUUAUCUCCUUCAGCAAUGAGGAAAUACCGAAUGAAGGAACAGGGCACACCCGUCCUCUCCACAUCUCCAUCAUGUACACAGAUUUUGUAAUAGGAAGGGUGUUGAUAGACAAUGGUGCGUCGCUCAAUGUGAUAACCAAGAGGACAUUGUCUAAAUUACGAGUGGAUGACUCAGCCAUAAAACCCAGUUCAACAGUUGUUCGAGCCUUCGAUGGAGCCCGAAGGGAUGUGCUGGGAGAAAUCGAGCUACCCGUGAAGAUUGGGCCGUGUACUUUCCAGAUCCUAUUUCAGGUCAUGGAUAUCAAUCCGUCGUUCAGCUGUCUGUUGGGAAGGCCAUGGAUCCAUUCCAUCGGCGCUAUACCUUCCUCAUUGCAUCAAAAGGUGAAGUUUAUCGCGAGGGGCAAGUUGAUAACCAUCAUGGGUGAAGAAGACAUUCUGGUGUCUCAGCUUAGUGAUACCCCAUACAUAGAAGCUGACACUGAAGCUUUGGAGUCUUCUUUCCGGGCGUUAGAGAUUGCGAGUGCUUCUUCUAAUAGGAGAGGAUAUCUUAAGCUCAAUCCUCCACCCUCUAAUGUCUCCAUUAACAUGGCCAGGGUCAUGCUAAAGAAAGGAUUCCAGCCAGGAAAAGGUUUAGGGAGAUACGGUCAGGGAAUUGAAAACACCAUAACCCUCCCAAUUAAUAAUGGUCGAUAUGGAUUGGGCUAUAAACCCAGCAAAGCUGAUGAGGACCAACUGGCAGAGUAACUUGCAGAGGAAAAGAAGAGGAGUACUACUCGUCCGGGGCGUUAUAGAAAUGAUAGCAGAAGGAUUCCCAUCCCCCAGAUCAGCCAGAGUUUUGUGAGUGCAGGCUUCAUAGAACAAAAAUUGAUUGCAAUGAUGAGUGAAGACCAGCUAGAUGAUGAUUUCAGUCAGGUGUACCAGUGCGCUCCAGGCAUGAUCUUGGACAAUUGGACCAAAAAGGAUGUUGCUAGCUGUAUUUAUGGGCCAAUGUAAUUGAAAAUGUUUUAACAUUUCUAAACUUGUUUGGUCACCAUUUGCCAAGCCCUGGGCAUUUGGAUCUUGUGUUAAUAAGGGCAUGAUUUUACUUUCAUCAGUGUGAUUCCUAAUAAAACAAACCAUCACAUUUCAUUCCAUUUCUUGAACAAUUUUAUAUUGCACUUUCUGCCUAAACAAAUCAAUAAAUUAACUUGAUAUAAACCAAUAAACCAUAAUGCAGAUCUGACAUCGAAUCUAUAUCUAAUGACAUCAUUAAUAAUCACUUGCCAAAUUUUGAUCACCCAAUAAAUCAAGCAGAGGAAGGUGACAGUGACGAAGACUACAAAGCGUCACCGGAAUUGCUGAGAUUAGUCAAACAAGAAGGCCAAGAAAUUCAACCUCAUGGGGAACCCGUCGAGUUGGUGAAUCUGGGUUCAGAGGAAGAAAAGAAGGAGGUUCGGGUAGGCACAAUCAUGGAUAGAACUGAGCAAGGAAAACUCAUCGCGCUUCUACAUGAAUACAAGGAUGUAUUCGCUUGGUCAUAUGAGGAGAUGCCAGGUCUAGAUCGAAAUUUAGUGGAACACAAACUACCACUAAAGGAAGACUCUAAACCGGUAAAACAAAAACUACGAAGGAUGAGGCCAGACGUAUCCUUAAGAGUCAAAGAGGAAUGGUUGGAAGCCAAGUUCGUGACAGUCUCUACAUACCCCGAAUGGGUGGCCAACAUAGUUGCAGUGCCAAAGAAAGGAGGGAAACUCCGGAUAUGUGUUGACUAUAGAGACCUUAAUCGGGCCAGUCCAAAGGAUGACUUUCUUGUGCCACACAUCGAUGUUCUAGUCGAUAGUACAGUCGAUCAUGCUUUAUUCUCAUUCAUGGAUGGAUACUCCAGGUACCACCAGAUUAAGAUAGCUUCGGAGGACAUAGAUAAAACAACCUUCAUUACCCCAUGGGGUACCUUCCGCUAUCUCGUGAUGCCAUUCGGGUUAAAAAAUGCUAUGGCCACCUAUCAAAGGGCCAUGAUCGCCAUUUUUCAUGAUAUGAUGCACAAGGAGAUCGAGGUCUAUGUCGGCGAUAUCAUUUGCAAAUCCAAAUCGAAAGAAGAGCAUGUCCCCAAUCUGCGAAAGCUCUUUGAGAGGUUACGAAAGUAUCAGCUCAAGUUGAACCCAGCUAAAUGCAGCUUUGGAGUGAAAUCUGGCAAAGUCCUGGGCUUCAUUGUUAGUCAGAAAGGCAUAGAGGUUGAUCCUGAAAAAAUCAGAGCCAUCGCCGAGAUGCCAGCCCAAUGCCAACCCCUAAGACGGAGAAAGAAGUCAGAGGGUUCUUGGGUCGGCUGAACUACAUCUCCCGGUUCAUAUCUCAACUAACUACAACUUGUGAACCCAUAUUCAAGCUAUUGAGGAAGAAUCAAGUAGUGAAAUGGAAUGAUGAUUGCCAAACAGUGUUCGACAAAAUCAAGCAAUACUUGACAGAACCGCCGAUAUUGACGCCCCCAGUCCCAGGCCGACCCCUAAUCAUGUAUCUAACAGUGCUGGACGAGUCCAUGGGUUGUAUUCUAGGACAACAUGAUGAGUUAGGGAAGAAAGAGCAUAUCAUUUAUUACCUGAGCAAGAAAUUCAAUGAUUGUGAGAAGAGGUAUUCUCUGUUGGAGCGCACUUGUUGUGCCUUAGCUUGGGCUGCACGUCGUCUCAGGCAAUACAUGUUGAGCCACACUACAUGGUUGGUAUCUAAAAUGGAUCCGAUUAAGUACAUAUUUGAGAAGCCUAUUAUGACGGAGAGUAUUGCUAGAUGGCAAGUGCUAUUAUCCGAGUAUGAUAUUGUGUAUGUCACCCAGAAGGCAAUAAAAGGAAGUGUCCUUGCCGAUUAUCUCGCCAGCCAACCUAUAAACAAAGGGGAUUUGAUUAAUGGGGAAUUCCCCGAUGAAGGGAUUAUGAUGAUAUCUCCAGGCACUGAAAUAGAAGGAGAUAGAUGGACUCUGGUGUUCGAUGGGGCUUCCAAUAUACUCGGACACGGAAUAGGGGCAGUAUUGAUCUCCCCAGAGAAUAAGUUCAUCCCGAUUACGGCUCGGCUAUGCUUUGACUGCACCAACAACAUCGCGGAGUAUGAGGCAUGUGUCUUGGGUUUGGAGGCGGCCUUGGAGUCAAGAAUUAAAUCCAUAGAAGUAUGGAGACUCCGCUCUAGUGAUUCAUCAUGUAAAAGGAGAAUGAGAGACCAGAGAUUCUAAGUUGAUACCAUAUAGAGAUCAUGUCCAAAAGUUGAUCCAUCGAUUCGAGGAAAUAGACUUCUACCAUAUCCCAAGGGAAGAUAAUCGGUUGGCUGAUGCCUUGGCAACUUUAUCCUCCAUGUUCCAGAUAGGUGAAAAGGAAAUGCCCGUUAUCAGGAUAGCAAGCAAAGAUCAGCCGACAUACUAUUGUGAAAUCGAAUCCGAGCCUGAUGGAAAGCCUUGGUAUCAUGACAUAAUGACAUACCUCAAGAGCAAAGAGUAUCCUCCCGAGGCCACAGAAAAUGAUAAAAGGACUCUACGAAGGUUAGCUAUGGGCUUCUUUCUAAACGAAAACGUGUUGUACAAAAGAAACCAUGACAUGAUGCUACUGAGGUGUGUGGAAGCCAAGGAAGCAGAGAAGAUCAUCCAGGAAAUACAUGAAGGAAUGUUUGGGACCCAUACGAAUGGGCACUCAAUGGCUCGGAAAAUCCUGAGAGCAGGCUAUUUUUGGUUAACGAUGGAAAGUGAUUGUUGCGAUCAUGUACGAAAAUGUCACAAAUGCUAGAUUUAUGCUGAUAAUAUUAAUGCACCUCCCAGCCCGUUAAAUAUUUUGUCUGCCCCAUGGCCGUUUUCUAUGUGGGGGAUGGACGUUAUCGGUCCGAUCGAACCAAAUGCUUCCAAUGGUCAUCGCUUCAUCUUGGUUGCAAUCGAAUAUUUCACCAAGUGAGUCGAGGCAAACUCAUACGCAAGCGUGACUCGUAAGGUAGUACUCAAGUUUAUAAAAAAGGAAUUGAUUUGCCGCUAUGGUUUGCCUCAUAAAAUUAUCACAGAUAAUGCUACCAAUCUCAACAACAAGAUGAUGACGGAGAUGUGUGAGGAAUUCAAAAUCAAACAUCACACUUCUUCGCCUUACAGACCUAAGAUGAACGGGGCAGUGGAGGCAGCAAAUAAAAAUAUAAAGAAGAUAGUCCAGAAAAUGGUGGUGACCUACAGAGAUUGGCACGAUAUGUUACCAUUUGCACUUCAUGGUUAUCGGACUUCCGUCCGCACAUCAACUGGGGCAACACCCUACUCGCUGGUUUAUGGGAUGGAAGCAGUGCUGCCGAUAGAAGUCGAAAUCCCGUCACUAAGAGUGCUCGCUGAAGCCGGAUUAGAAGAGGCAGAAUGGGUCCAAGCCCGACAUGAUCAGUUGAAUCUUAUUGAAGGGAAGAGGUUGGCAGCCAUAUGUCAUGGUCAAUUAUACCAGAGGAGGAUCAUGAGAGCACAUGCUAAGAAGCUACGCCCUCGAACAUUCAGGGAAGGUGAUCUAGUACUCAAGAAGAUUUUACCUAUUCAGAAGGAUCACCGGGGAAAGUGGACACCCAAUUACGAAGGCCCAUAUGUGGUAAAGAAAGCCUUCUCAGGAGGAGCUCUCAUUUUGACCAACAUGGACAGAGAAGACCUUCGUCUCUCUGUAAACUCUGAUGCAGUGAAGAAAUACUAUGCUUGAGACGACUUCCUAAGAAAAAGAAAAAACCAAAAAAAAAAGGAAAAAAAGAAUAAAGAAAAAGAAACUCGAUUUCUUAGGAAUAUUAAUGUAAUGAACACGAUCAUUAUUUACAAAAUUGCAUACAUGUUUUNNNNNNNNNNNNNNNNNNNNNNNNNNNNNNNNNNNNNNNNNNNNNNNNNNNNNNNNNNNNNNNNNNNNNNNNNNNNNNNNNNNNNNNNNNNNNNNNNNNNGUAGUUUUUCCAAUAUUUCCUAUAAUUCAAAAGAACAAUGCUUCAAAUCAAGUAGUGAGAAUCUAGAAAUCUCAAAGUAGAAGAAAAAUGAGAAAGGUCCGCUAAGAUACUCAAGAGAUCUUAGGCAAAAAUUAGGACAAAAACACAUCAGAUCCUCAAUUGUCAAUACUAAAAUGAAGCAAUAAAAUCAUGAGAGGAAUCAUUGGAAAUAGGAUAUCGGAGAAAAGGAGAUGUAGUGGGAAGGGAAACACAAUUUGAGCCUUAGUAUCCAUUUUCUGGUAAGCCAUUUAACCAGGCCACAAUUCAAGCCAAAAAAGUCCUUGUUGAGGAAUAAUUUGUUUGGAACCAUGCUAGGGUAAAAAGCAAACUGACUCCAAAAGGAAACGUUUUAAAUGCACUCAUUUUUAAACUAACACUCGCACAAAGUGAUCAUUACGUUAAUAUUUCUAACAAAUAAAAAGAAAAGAACAUCCUGGUAGGUCGAAAACCUGAAAGGGCGGCCAAGGCAAAAGUUAGGGAUUAUCAUUAAAGAAAGUCGUUCUCAAUCGGAAGAAUGAUCACUCAGGAAGACAUCAAAGUAAGAUACUGGGGGCAGGUUCAUUGGAUGAGUAGGCUCACCCUGAUGAAUCCGUAGCAAAAGUCAUGAAGCAGAUUAUGGGGUGCUUCAGAAGAUUCAGGUUGAGAAGCAAACAAUGGGGGCAAUUUAUUGAAUGAUCAGUCCCAUCCAAUAAAUUCAUGAGCAAGACACAAUAGCCAAUCUGUUGAACAAUNNNNNNNNNNNNNNNNNNNNNNNNNNNNNNNNNNNNNNNNNNNNNNNNNNNNNNNNNNNNNNNNNNNNNNNNNNNNNNNNNNNNNNNNNNNNNNNNNNNNAAAAAAAACUCCUUCAAAUCUAUACCUCCACAUGUUAAUAUCAAUAUAAAGUCAUACCUUGUUCAUUAUUUCUCAUAUAUUAAUGCAUGAGUUGUUUUUGUGAAAAUACACUGAUGAAUAAUAAUAUGACCUUUUGUGAUGAUUAAUCAGAACAAAUAACCGAGCAGCAUGGCCAUCCGUAAAGAAGGGCUGAAAUCAUGUCAAUAUAAAGCUUUAUUACUAGAGCUUCCACACUCAAUGAAAUUGGAACUUCGGAUUGUAAGGAUGCUCAAAAUCAAAUUCAAUGAUAACGGACCUGUAAAAUGAAAACAAUCAAGAUUUUGUCAAUAAACGAUACAAACACUGCAAGCAAAAAACCACAUAUUGUGUAUUGCAUAUUCACAAACUAAAAAAACAUCUCAUUCAUAUCAUGCACCCAUUCAUGAAAUUCGUUGCAAAAAAAUCAUUUUUAGACCUCCAGGGGUAGAAAGUAAGCUAGCUUAAGCCAAAGCAUUUAUCUUUAUUGUCUCGAGUUCCGGCAGUACCCGACCUGCGUUCUCGCAUUAACUUGUAUUGUCCCGAGUUCCGGCAGUACCCGACCUGCGUUCUCGCAUUUACUUUUAUUGUCCCGAGUUCCGGCAGUACCCAACCUGCGUUUUCGCAUUUACUUUUAUUGUCCCGAGUUCCGGCAGUACCCGACCUGCGUUCUCGCAUUUACUUUUAUUGUCCCGAGUUCCGGCAGUACUCGACCUGCGUUCUCACAUUUACUUUGAUUGUCUCGAGUUCCGGCAGUACCCGACCUGCGUUCUCGCAUUUACUUUCAUAUUCUCGAGUUCCGGCAGUACCCGACCUGCGUUCUCGCAUUUAUUUUUAGUAGUUCGAGUCCCAGCAGCACCCGACUUGCGUUCUCGUUUAAAAAUUUUAUUUUCUCGAGUUCCAGCAACACCCAACUUGCAUUUUCACAUUUAUUAUUGUCAUUUCAUGACCCAUUAAUAAGCACCACACUUUCUAUCUCAUUGUGUCAUGAUCGAUGCUUUCGCCUAUUUGUAACAAAAUUUGCGUUCACUUCUUUACUAAUUGCUUACAAAGAUAACACUCAAACAUCAAUUUAGUUGCUAUCUAGUAAGCAAUAAGUAAAGAGGGGCAGUUGUGAACACCCAAAUUUGUCUUACAUUUACUUUUUAUUUUUAGCAUAAAAAAAUAAAACACCAUUUCUAUAUCCACCAGAUCAUUGGGAUAAUCAAGUUGCAGAUCAAUUAUGUCUUCUAAAGUAAUUUACAUACAACCAGUACCCUCACAGUGGUUAUCCACUCUAGGAUGAUUAGUACAUUCAUAAGUCUAACAAAACAAGGAACCUAAGCCACUUCGAUAUAGUGCAUUGACGCAUAUCGCUAUGGCUAUUAAACAAUUCCAGCGCCUGAUUCUCGCAGCUAAAAAAAAGGAUGGCAAUAAUAUUGUUUAUAUCAAAAAAGAGGCCACAUUAAAAUGCUAAAACAUGGACAAGAGUUCCCAUCCCAUACUAGGUUACAUUUUCUAAAUAUUGCUCUAUGAGCAAGAAUAAAUAAUACUAAGAAACUUCAAAAGGUUCAACGCAUGAAUAUUACAUCAUUUUGUUCUUUUCCUCCCAUAAGGCUACAAAUGCAAACUUAAGGUUGAAGGAAACCGCAUCCAGAUCUAACGAAGGGGGGUCACUUCAGCCUCGCAACCAUAAGCGAAUCACGAACAAUUGAUCAAUACUGGACGUCCAAGUUAUCUUCUAUGGCCAACUUCCAACUGCAAAAAAAGGGGGGGGGGAAGAAAAGCAUAUGCACAAAACAAUAGAACAACACUAACAUGCUCAAAGCAAUUAAAUUAUGUUGAGGAUGAAACAAAUACACAAUCUGAUCCAGCUAUCCAAUAAUUCCAAAUACGGUUAAGGGUCGUAAGUGCAUACCUACAGCAAGCACUUAUAACUUUGUUAUCUUUAUGCUGAUACAGGAAUGAGGAGGAUCACCUGAAUAAACUCACUGCUCCAGAGAGGGAGAGGAGACUGAUAGAAGAUUAUACAUAUCAGUAAUAAACAAGAGAGGACCACACAUUCCCAUAUACACAACAAGCAACACAUUCAUCCUCCUAUCAACAAGCAGUAGGUAUAACUCGAAUUCGACAAUUCCAG